GGACAAAGGCGUCAAAAAAAAUGGGAAAGAAUGGCUACAUGCUCUUCUACGUGAAGAGUUGAGCGGCGACUGGUUGAGUGUUGGAGAGGAAAGGCUGGAAGACCGACUGGAAGUUUUCACUGUCCUGCUGUAAAAGUAUGGGUCAGUUAAUUAAACAUCUGCCCUCUGCUGGCCAGGUAUUGAACACUCAGCUAAAAUAUUCUGAAAGACAAGGGUGCCGAGAUAAGACAGUGAUACAAAUAAAAGACUAAAACAACAG
Molecule: long non-coding RNA, 259 nt
Organism: Puntigrus tetrazona (Sumatra barb)
Lineage: Eukaryota; Metazoa; Chordata; Actinopteri; Cypriniformes; Cyprinidae
Exons: 3
Source: RefSeq, a predicted model, not a curated record